GAUAAACGCUGGCGGCGUGCCUUAUGCAUGCAAGUCGAACGCACCGCAAGGUGAGUGGCGAACGGGUGAGUAACACGUAGGAACCUGCCCUGGAGUGGGGGAUAACUCUCCGAAAGGGGAGCUAAUACCGCAUACGGUCUUCGGACCAAAGCUUCGGCGCUCUGGGAGGGGCCUGCGGCGGAUUAGCUUGUUGGUGGGGGUAAUGGCCUACCAAGGCGACGAUCCGUAGCUGGUCGAGAGGA
This 242-nucleotide ribosomal RNA is filed under the name uncultured bacterium. RNAcentral's name for it is "partial 16S ribosomal RNA". It matches the Rfam family "Bacterial small subunit ribosomal RNA", at positions 28 to 300 of the family's 1533-position model. The record is from RNAcentral.